RNAcentral lists this ribosomal RNA (1446 nucleotides) under Marinobacter sp. ANT_B65. RNAcentral describes it as "bacterial LSU rRNA". It matches the Rfam family "Bacterial large subunit ribosomal RNA", at positions 1519 to 2925 of the family's 2925-position model. Lineage: Bacteria; Pseudomonadati; Pseudomonadota; Gammaproteobacteria; Pseudomonadales; Marinobacteraceae. The record is from RNAcentral.
GUAGGGAGUGGACUUAGGCAAAUCCGGGUCCAUAAUUCUGAGACGUGACGACGAGCACCCUUUACGGGAGCGAAGUCAUUGAUGCCAUGCUUCCAGGAAAAUCUUCUAAGCUUCAGGCUAUUUGAGACCGUACCCCAAACCGACACAGGUGGUCAGGUAGAGAAUACCAAGGCGCUUGAGAGAACUCGGGUAAAGGAACUAGGCAAAAUGGUGCCGUAACUUCGGGAGAAGGCACGCCGGCGGUAUGUGACGCCCCUCGCGGGUUGAGCAGAAGCCGGUCGAAGAUACCAGGCCCCUGCGACUGUUUAUUAAAAACACAGCACUGUGCAAACUCGUAAGAGGACGUAUACGGUGUGACGCCUGCCCGGUGCCGGAAGGUUAAUUGAUGGGGUUAGCAUUCGUGCGAAGCUCUUGAUCGAAGCCCCGGUAAACGGCGGCCGUAACUAUAACGGUCCUAAGGUAGCGAAAUUCCUUGUCGGGUAAGUUCCGACCUGCACGAAUGGCGUAACGAUGGGGGCGCUGUCUCUACCCGAGACUCAGUGAAAUUGAAAUCGCCGUGAAGAUGCGGUGUAUCCGCGGCUAGACGGAAAGACCCCGUGNACCUUUACUAUAGCUUCACAGUGAACUUUGAACAUGUUUGUGUAGGAUAGCUGGGAGGCUUUGAAGCGUGAACGCCAGUUUGCGUGGAGCCAACCUUGAAAUACCAGCCUGGCAUGUUUGAGGUUCUAACUCUGUCCCCUUAUCGGGGAUGAGGACACUGUGUGGUGGGUAGUUUGACUGGGGCGGUCUCCUCCUAAAGCGUAACGGAGGAGCACAAAGGUGGGCUAAGUACGGUCGGACAUCGUACGGUUAGUGUAAUGGCACAAGCCCGCUUAACUGCGAGACAGACACGUCGAGCAGGUACGAAAGUAGGUCAUAGUGAUCCGGUGGUUCUGUAUGGAAGGGCCAUCGCUCAACGGAUAAAAGGUACUCCGGGGAUAACAGGCUGAUACCGCCCAAGAGUUCACAUCGACGGCGGUGUUUGGCACCUCGAUGUCGGCUCAUCACAUCCUGGGGCUGAAGCCGGUCCCAAGGGUAUGGCUGUUCGCCAUUUAAAGUGGUACGCGAGCUGGGUUUAGAACGUCGUGAGACAGUUCGGUCCCUAUCUGCCGUGGACGUUGGAGAUUUGAGGAAAGCUGCUCCUAGUACGAGAGGACCGGAGUGGACGAACCGCUGGUGUUCCAGUUGUCUCGCCAGAGGCAUUGCUGGGUAGCUACGUUCGGACAGGAUAACCGCUGAAAGCAUCUAAGCGGGAAGCCCCUUCCAAGAUGAGAUCUCCCUGAGGCCUUGAGCCUCCUGAAGAGCCGUUCAAGACCAGGACGUUGAUAGGUCGGGUGUGUAAGCGCUGCGAGGCGUUGAGCUAACCGAUACUAAUUGCUCGUGCGGCUUGACUAUAUAACACCCAAG